Molecule: ribosomal RNA, 253 nt
Filed under: uncultured bacterium
Lineage: Bacteria
Description: partial 16S ribosomal RNA
Rfam family: Bacterial small subunit ribosomal RNA
Source: RNAcentral
UACGUAGGGUGCAAGCGUUAAUCGGAAUUACUGGGCGGAAAGCGUGCGCAGGCGGUUGUGCAAGACCGAUGUGAAAUCCCCGGGCUUAACCUGGGAAUGGCAUUGGUGACUGCACGGCUAGAGUGUGUCAGAGGGGGGUAGAAUUCCACGUGUAGCAGUGAAAUGCGUAGAGAUGUGGAGGAAUACCGAUGGCGAAGGCAGCCCCCUGGGAUAACACUGACGCUCAUGCACGAAAGCGUGGGGAGCAAACAGG